UAGCGUACAACGGAAAAUGCGUCCCGCUUAAGGCGGGAAGGUCGCAGGUUCGAAUCCUGC
RNAcentral lists this transfer RNA (60 nucleotides) under Flavobacterium beibuense F44-8. It matches the Rfam family "tRNA", at positions 8 to 63 of the family's 71-position model. From Rfam's summary of the family: Transfer RNA (tRNA) molecules are approximately 80 nucleotides in length. Their secondary structure includes four short double-helical elements and three loops (D, anti-codon, and T loops). Further hydrogen bonds mediate the characteristic L-shaped molecular structure. tRNAs have two regions of fundamental functional importance: the anti-codon, which is responsible for specific mRNA codon recognition, and the 3' end, to which the tRNAs corresponding amino acid is attached (by aminoacyl-tRNA synthetases). tRNAs cope with the degeneracy of the genetic code in two manners: having more than one tRNA (with a specific anti-codon) for a particular amino acid; and 'wobble' base-pairing, i.e. permitting non-standard base-pairing at the 3rd anti-codon position. The record is from Rfam by way of RNAcentral. Lineage: Bacteria; Pseudomonadati; Bacteroidota; Flavobacteriia; Flavobacteriales; Flavobacteriaceae.